AUGAACGCUAGCGGGAGGCCUAACACAUGCAAGCCGAGCGGUAGAUUACUUUCGGGUAAUUGAGAGCGGCGUACGGGUGCGGAACACGUGUGCAACCUGCCUUUAUCAGGGGGAUAGCCUUUCGAAAGGACUUAGCUUAAAAUAAAAACGUCGAAUCAAAAUAAAAUUUCGCUUUCUGAGCGUUGGCAAAAAAAAUUAAAUCGUCAGGACGAGCGUCGGCAAAUUGUGCAGCGAAAAUUCAAUGU
RNAcentral lists this ribosomal RNA (245 nucleotides) under Elizabethkingia anophelis. RNAcentral's name for it is "partial 16S ribosomal RNA". Lineage: Bacteria; Pseudomonadati; Bacteroidota; Flavobacteriia; Flavobacteriales; Weeksellaceae. The record is from RNAcentral.